Molecule: ribosomal RNA, 211 nt
Filed under: uncultured Desulfocapsa sp.
Lineage: Bacteria; Pseudomonadati; Thermodesulfobacteriota; Desulfobulbia; Desulfobulbales; Desulfocapsaceae
Description: partial 16S ribosomal RNA
Rfam family: Bacterial small subunit ribosomal RNA
Source: RNAcentral
UGGGAUGACGUCAAGUCCUCAUGGCCUUUAUGACCAGGGCUACACACGUACUACAAUGGCCGGUACAAAGGGCAGCGACACAGCGAUGUGAAGCGAAAUCCCGAAAAAGCCGGUCUCAGUCCGGAUUGGAGUCUGCAACUCGACUCCCAUGAAGUUGGAAUCGCUAGUAAUCGCAGAUCAGCACGCUGCGGUGAAUACGUUCCCGGGCCUU